UAACCUGCUAAAUAGAGAUGCGAACCUGCGUUCGUAGGCUCUUCUUAGAGGGACUGACUACGUUUAGUGGUCGGAAGUUUGAGGCAAUAACAGGUCUGUGAUGCCCUUAGAUGUUCUGGGCUGCACGCGCGCUACACUGACAGAGGCAGCGAGUAUACAACCUUGACCGGAAGGUCUGGGUAAUCUUUUGAAACUCUGUCGUGCUGGGGAUAGAGCAUUGCAAUUAUUGCUCUUCAACGAGGAAUUCCUAGUAAGCGCAUGUCAUCAGCAUGCGCUGAUUACGUCCCUGCCCUUUGUACACACCGCCCGUCGCU
This 314-nucleotide ribosomal RNA is filed under the name uncultured fungus. RNAcentral's name for it is "SSU rRNA". It matches the Rfam family "Eukaryotic small subunit ribosomal RNA", at positions 1344 to 1680 of the family's 1831-position model. The record is from RNAcentral. Lineage: Eukaryota; Fungi.